This 68-nucleotide transfer RNA is filed under the name Cricetulus griseus (Chinese hamster). It matches the Rfam family "tRNA". From Rfam's summary of the family: Transfer RNA (tRNA) molecules are approximately 80 nucleotides in length. The record is from Rfam by way of RNAcentral. Lineage: Eukaryota; Metazoa; Chordata; Mammalia; Rodentia; Cricetidae.
GCUAGCUCAGUCAGUAGAGCAUGAGAACCUUAAUCUCGGGGUUGUGAGUUCGAGCCUCACAUUGGGCA